RNAcentral lists this unclassified non-coding RNA (514 nucleotides) under Athalia rosae (coleseed sawfly). Its description in RNAcentral is "misc RNA ENSAEAG00005000558.1". The record is from RNAcentral. Lineage: Eukaryota; Metazoa; Arthropoda; Insecta; Hymenoptera; Athaliidae.
AUUCGGUAUUCGGUCAUAUCGGAGCAUCUCGUACGUAGAUCCUUCUUUUCCGAGGCAACGGCAGUAUGGCCGCAACAGUCGAAGCGACGGGGUCAUCGGGAGCGACAUCGAUGGUAGCGCCUACAAACUUGGACAGGACAAAAAAGGAGAAAGAGAGGGGAGAGAAAGAAAGAGAAAUAUCGGGGUUUUCCGUCUUGGAUUCCAUGGCAGUUCAGCUUCGGCGACAGAAGCAGCGACAUCAGUAGCAAGGCAGGUCCUUCAGAGCGACGAUGGAGAGAGAGAACGAUGAGCAUUGGGCCAUGGAACCAAAUCAGGACAUCAACGAGUCACUCCGAAGAUCGACUCCUCUUCUUAUUGUUCCGGUAGAGACAUGGAUCUGCAACACAUGAGACGUACAACUCCUUUUUUUUGCAGAGGUAUGUUUCAUUUAAUCUAUCCCUUUCGAGAGUCCCUGGUAUAAUCUAACAUUCAGAGUCUCAGUACAUGAAUUGCACCCCCUUAGAAAAGAUUUUCA